GCGGUUCACUGCGGCACGGUCGCGGUGGCCGAAAGCCAAAUCUAGACAACUCGCCAUCAAGUAGAGAAAAUCGGCUGAUGGGAAUCGUAGUUUGCAGCCUCUACGGAUGGGAAACGGGAGGAGGCACGGGUGUCUCCGUGGUUACCGCGCGACGCCAGUGGCUGCUUGCCUGGCAUUUGAUAGCAAGAUGGCGACCAUUGCCUCACCUGUAGCCCAAAUACUGGAAAAAACUGUGAGAGGACUCAGAGGUCCGGGCAGCACCUCACAGACCAAUGCAGAAUUUCAGGAUCCUUCUAAACUUUCACUCCCACACUCUCCUGAGGACCUUAUUAUCCCCCCACAAGAAGUCAGGGCCAAAGAGAACUUACCUCAGGAAAUUCUUGGGUGUUUAGUGCUCAGAAGACAUGGAUGGUACUGCUAACCCUGGGACUGAAGCCUUGCACUAAGUAAGGGCCUUCAGUGAUGGGAUACAACGGCCAUCCAGCAUAUAAAGCUUGAGCAUGGCCAGCGCCCAUUCCUCAUCACCCCUCCACCCAUGCAGCUCGAGUGCCAAUGCCCCAGGAUGCUGGAACUCACAGGCUGGACUUUGCCCUGCUGUGACCUCUGAGAGCCUGUCAGGGCCGAGAUGCAGCCCCAACAGAAGUAGCUGCGUCACCAGUACACCUAGGGGUG
Mustela erminea (ermine) is the source of this 672-nucleotide long non-coding RNA. RefSeq lists it as uncharacterized. The transcript has 3 exons. The record is from RefSeq and is a predicted model, not a curated record. NCBI's taxonomy places the organism in Eukaryota, Metazoa, Chordata, Mammalia, Carnivora, Mustelidae.